RNAcentral lists this long non-coding RNA (602 nucleotides) under Nicotiana tabacum (common tobacco). Its description in RNAcentral is "long non-coding RNA (NTAB_LNC002424)". The record is from RNAcentral. Lineage: Eukaryota; Viridiplantae; Streptophyta; Magnoliopsida; Solanales; Solanaceae.
CUCAUGCACUUGAAUUUGCUCUGAGACUUCUUGUUGCCACCUUCUGCCUUCCGGUGUUGGGAUUUUUAUUGUUUCCUGCUGGGGAUUCUUGUUGUAACCUUCUGCCUUCCGGUGGGGUUAUUGACUUCAAAAUCUGCAGUAUAAGACUGAAAAGUAUUCCUCUCGUUAUACAGGUGGGUGCCUGGACAUGAAAUGAAAAUGUAUACCCGCAUUUUACUGGUGGGCGACCUGGAACUUAAAUGUAUUCUCGCAUUUUACUGGUGGGCGACCUGGAAAUGGAAAACUGAAAUGUAUGCCCGCAUUAUACUGGUGGGCGACCUAGAAUAUGGAAUGAACAGACAAAAUGUAUUCCCUCAUUAUACUGGUGGGCGACCUAGAACUGAAAUGUAUUCUCGCAUUAUACUGGUGGGCGACCUAGAACUUAAAUGUAUUCCCGCAUUAUACUGAUGGGCGACCUAGAACUUAAAUGUAUUCCCGCAUUUUACUGGUGGGCGACCUAGAACUUAAAAGUAUUCCCGCAUUAUACUGGUGGGCGACAUAGAAUUAAAUGUAUUCCCGCAUUUUACUGGUGGGCGACCUAGAACUGAAAAGUAUUCCCGUAU